CCGGAGACGAGCUUUGGGUGCUUAGAUAUAUUUUUCUGGCGUGAAGUGUUGUGUGGAGUGUUCAUUAUCAGCAUGGUUUGCACGAGUACUUGUACACGAUG
This 101-nucleotide small RNA is filed under the name Scyphosphaera apsteinii. Its description in RNAcentral is "partial Betaproteobacteria transfer-messenger RNA". Lineage: Eukaryota; Haptophyta; Coccosphaerales; Pontosphaeraceae. The record is from RNAcentral.